This 463-nucleotide ribosomal RNA is filed under the name uncultured bacterium. RNAcentral describes it as "partial 16S ribosomal RNA". It matches the Rfam family "Bacterial small subunit ribosomal RNA", at positions 28 to 507 of the family's 1533-position model. The record is from RNAcentral.
GAUGAACGCUGACAGAAUGCUUAACACAUGCAAGUCGAUGGGGAAGUGGUGCUUGCACCAUGGUAACCAUGGCGGACGGGUGAGUAACACGUAAGGAACUUACCUGCGGGACCGGGAUAACAGCAGGAAACUGCUGACAAGACCGGAUAAGGUCAUUAAGCUGCAUAGCUUAGUGAUGAAAGGAGACGCCUGCGGAGAGCCUUGCGUCCUAUUAGCUAGUUGGAGGGGUAACGGCCCACCAAGGCGAAGAUAGGUAGCCGGCCUGAGAGGGUGGACGGCCACAAGGGGACUGAGAUACGGCCCUUACGCCUACGGGAGGCAGCAGUGGGGAAUAGUGGACAAUGGGGGCAACCCUGAUCCAGCAAUUCUGUGUGCACGAAGACGGUUUUCGGAUUGUAAAGUGCUUUCAGCAGGGAAGAAGGAAGUGACGGUACCUGCAGAAGAAGCGACGGCUAAAUACGUG